CCUACGGGCGGCAGCAGUGGGGAAUAUUGGACAAUGGGCGAAAGCCUGAUCCAGCCAUGCCGCGUGUGUGAAGAAGGCCUUCGGGUUGUAAAGCACUUUCAGUGGGGAAGAAAGCCUUGGGGCUAAUACCCUCGAGGAAGGACAUCACCCACAGAAGAAGCACCGGCUAACUCCGUGCCAGCAGCCGCGGUAAUACGGAGGGUGCGAGCGUUAAUCGGAAUUACUGGGCGUAAAGCGCGCGUAGGCGGUCUGAUAAGCCGGUUGUGAAAGCCCCGGGCUCAACCUGGGAACGGCAUCCGGAACUGUCAGGCUAGAGUGCAGGAGAGGAAGGUAGAAUUCCCGGUGUAGCGGUGAAAUGCGUAGAGAUCGGGAGGAAUACCAGUGGCGAAGGCGGCCUUCUGGACUGACACUGACGCUGAGGUGCGAAAGCGUGGGUAGCAAACAGGAUUAGAUCCCUGGUAGUC
Molecule: ribosomal RNA, 464 nt
Filed under: Vreelandella stevensii
Lineage: Bacteria; Pseudomonadati; Pseudomonadota; Gammaproteobacteria; Oceanospirillales; Halomonadaceae
Description: partial 16S ribosomal RNA
Rfam family: Bacterial small subunit ribosomal RNA
Source: RNAcentral